CAGCAGCCACGGUAAAACAGAGGGUGCGAGCGUUAAUCGGAUUUACUGGGCGUAAAGCGUGCGUAGGCGGCUUUUUAAGUCGGAUGUGAAAUCCCUGAGCUUAACUUAGGAAUUGCAUUCGAUACUGGGAAGCUAGAGUAUGGGAGAGGAUGGUAGAAUUCCAGGUGUAGCGGUGAAAUGCGUAGAGAUCUGGAGGAAUACCGAUGGCGAAGGCAGCCAUCUGGCCUAAUACUGACGCUGAGGUACGAAAGCAUGGGGAGCAAACAGGAUUAGAUACCCCUGUAGUCCCUGUCUCUUAUAC
RNAcentral lists this ribosomal RNA (301 nucleotides) under uncultured bacterium. RNAcentral's name for it is "partial 16S ribosomal RNA". It matches the Rfam family "Bacterial small subunit ribosomal RNA", at positions 509 to 807 of the family's 1533-position model. The record is from RNAcentral.